RNAcentral lists this ribosomal RNA (515 nucleotides) under uncultured archaeon. Its description in RNAcentral is "bacterial SSU rRNA". It matches the Rfam family "Archaeal small subunit ribosomal RNA", at positions 345 to 859 of the family's 1478-position model. The record is from RNAcentral.
AACCUUUACACUGCACGACAGUGCGAUAAGGGAAUCCCAAGUGCGUAGGCAUAGAGCCUACGCUUUUGUCCACCGUAGGGAGGUGGACGAAUAAGGGCUGGGCAAGAUCGGUGCCAGCCGCCGCGGUAAUACCGGCAGCCCGAGUGAUGGCCGAUCUUAUUGGGCCUAAAGCGUCCGUAGCUGGCCGCGCAAGUUCGUCGGGAAAUCCACGCGCUUAACGUGUGGGCGUCCGGCGAAAACUGUGCGGCUUGGGACCGGAAGAUCUGAGGGGUACGUCUGGGGUAGGAGUGAAAUCCCGUAAUCCUGGACGGACCACCAAUGGGGAAACCACCUCAGGAAGACGGACCCGACGGUGAGGGACGAAAGCUAGGGUCUCGAACCGGAUUAGAUACCCGGGUAGUCCUAGCUGUAAACGAUGCUCGCUAGGUGUGCCGUAGGCUACGAGCCUGCGCUGCGCCCUAGGGAAGCCGAGAAGCGAGCCGCCUGGGAAGUACGUCCGCAAGGAUGAAACUUAA